CUACCUUCAGAACAGAGCUUCACAGUUUGUACCCGACAGUCAUUGCCAAGGACCCAGAACUGAUAGUCAGGACUUUAAGGCUGGGUGAAUAAAAAAUUGAUGGUUGGAAAAUUAAGGAGGAGUUCUCUUGUUUGUGUUUUGACAUUUUGGAGGUGUUCACAGAUGAAAACAAGGACAAGCUGGGAGUUGAACCAGCGACCUUUGGAUCACAGCACUUCAUGUGAGGAACUUCCUACAGUCCUGUGCUCUACCAAAUGAGCUAUCGAGGUGCUCUCCACUCACUAGUGCAGAAAACAUAGUGGCUGAGACGACACACUUUGCCCACACAACUAUUUGAUCCACAUGGUCAAUGAAAAGCCCAGCCCUACCUGCAGAACAAAGCUUCGCAGUUUGUACCCAACAGUCAUUGCCAGGGACCCAGAACUGAUAAUCAGGACUUUUAGGCUUGGAUUUUGAUUGACAUGGCUAAUCAAAAGCCCAGUCCUACCUUCAGGACAGAGCUUCACAGUUUGUACCCAACAGUCAUUGCCAAGGACCCAGAACUGAUAGUCAGGACUUUAAGGCUGGGUGAAUAAAAAAUUGAUGGUUGGAAAAUUAAGGAGGAGUUCUCUUGUUUGUGUUUUGACAUUUUGGAGGUGUUCACAGAUGAAGACAAGCGGGGAGUUGAACCAGCGACCUUUGGAUCACAGCACUUCAUGUGAGGAACUUCCUAAAGUCCUCUGGUCUACCAACUGAGCUAUCGAGGUGCUCUCUACUCACAAGUGCAGAAAACAUAGUGGCUGAGACGACACACUUUGCCCACACAACUAUUUGAUCCACAUGGUCAAUGAAAAGCCCAGCCCUACCUGCAGAACAAAGCUUCGCAGUUUGUACCCAACAGUCAUUACCAGGGACCCAGAACUGAUAAUCAGGACUUUUAGGCUUGGCUUUUGAUUGACAUGGCCAAUCAAAAGCCCAGUCCUACCUUCAGAACAGAGCUUCACAGUUUGUACCCGACAGUCAUUGCCAAGGACCCAGAACUGAUAGUCAGGACUUUAAGGCUGGGUGAAUAAAAAAUUGAUGGUUGGAAAAUUAAGGAGGAGUUGUCUUGUUUGUGUUUUGACAUUUUGGAGGUGUUCACAGAUGAAGACAAGGACAAAUGGGGAGUUGAACCAGCGACCUUUGGAUCACAGCACUUCCUACAGUCCUCUGCUCUACCAACUGAGCUAUCGAGGUGCUCUCUACUCACAAGUGCAGAAAGCAUAGUGGCUGAGACGACACACUUUGCCCACACAACUAUUUGAUCCACAUGGUCAAUGAAAAGCAAAGCCCUACCUGCAGAACAAAGCUUCGCAGUUUGUACCCAACAGUCAUUGCCAGGGACCCAGAACUGAUAAUCAGGACUUUUAGGCUUGGAUUUUGAUUGACAUGGCUAAUCAAAAGCCCAGUCCUACCUUCAGGACAGAGCUUCACAGUUUGUACCCAACAGUCAUUGCCAAGGACCCAGAACUGAUAGUCAGGACUUUAAGGCUGGGUGAAUAAAAAAUUGAUGGUUGGAAAAUUAAGGAGGAGUUGUCUUGUUUGUGUUUUGACAUUUUGGAGGUGUUCACAGAUGAAGACAAGGACAAAUGGGGAGUUGAACCAGCGACCUUUGGAUCACAGCACUUCCUACAGUCCUCUGCUCUACCAACUGAGCUAUCGAGGUGCUCUCUACUCACAAGUGCAGAAAGCAUAGUGGCUGAGACGACACACUUUGCCCACACAACUAUUUGAUCCACAUGGUCAAUGAAAAGCAAAGCCCUACCUGCAGAACAAAGCUUCGCAGUUUGUACCCAACAGUCAUUGCCAGGGACCCAGAACUGAUAAUCAGGACUUUUAGGCUUGGAUUUUGAUUGACAUGGCUAAUCAAAAGCCCAGUCCUACCUUCAGGACAGAGCUUCACAGUUUGUACCCAACAGUCAUUGCCAAGGACCCAGAACUGAUAGUCAGGACUUUAAGGCUGGGUGAAUAAAAAAAUGAUGGUUGGAAAAUUAAGGAGGAGUUCUCUUGUUUGUGUUUUGACAUUUUGGAGGUGUUCACAGAUGAAGACAAGCGGGGAGUUGAACCAGCGACCUUUGGAUCACAGCACUUCAUGUGAGGAACUUCCUAAAGUCCUCUGCUCUACCAACUGAGCUAUCGAGGUGCUGUCUACUCACAAGUGCAGAAAACAUAGUGACUGAGACGACAUACUUUGCCCACACAACUAUUUGAUCCACAUGGUCAAUGAAAAGCCCAGCCCUACCUGCAGAACAAAGCUUCGCAGUUUGUACCCAACAGUCAUUACCAGGGACCCAGAACUGAUAAUCAGGACUUUUAGGCUUGGCUUUUGAUUGACAUGGCCAAUCAAAAGCCCAGUCCUACCUUCAGAACAGAGCUUCACAGUUUGUACCCGACAGUCAUUGCCAAGGACCCAGAACUGAUAGUCAGGACUUUAAGGCUGGGUGAAUAAAAAAUUGAUGGUUGGAAAAUUAAGGAGGAGUUGUCUUGUUUGUGUUUUGACAUUUUGGAGGUGUUCACAGAUGAAGACAAGCGGGGAGUUGAACCAGCGACCUUUGGAUCACAGCACUUAAUGUGAGGAACUUCCUAAAGUCCUCUGCUCUACCAACUGAGCUAUCGAGGUGCUGUCUACUCACACGUGCAGAAAACAUAGUGGCUGAGACGACAUACUUUGCCCACACAACUAUUUGAUCCACAUGGUCAAUGAAAAGCCCAGCCCUACCUGCAGAACAAAGCUUCGCAGUUUGUACCCAACAGUCAUUGCCAGGGACCCAGAACUGAUAAUCAGGACUUUUAGGCUUGGCUUUUUAUUGACAUGGCUAAUCAAAAGCCCAGUCCUACCUUCAGAACAGAGCUUCACAGUUUGUACCCGACAGUCAUUGCCAAGGACCCAGAACUGAUAGUCAGGACUUUAAGGCUGAGUGAAUAAAAAAUUGAUGGUUGGAAAAUUAAGGAGGAGUUCUCUUGUUUGUGUUUUGACAUUUUGGAGGUGUUCACAGAUGAAGACAAGGACAAAUGGGGAGUUGAACCAGCGACCUUUGGAUCACAGCACUUCCUACAGUCCUCUGCUCUACCAACUGAGCUAUCGAGGUGCUCUCUACUCACAAGUGCAGAAAACAUAGUGGCUGAGACGACACACUUUGCCCACACAACUAUUUGAUCCACAUGGUCAAUGAAAAGCCCAGCCCUACCUGCAGAACAAAGCUUCGCAGUUUGUACCCAACAGUCAUUACCAGGGACCCAGAACUGAUAAUCAGGACUUUUAGGCUUGGCUUUUGAUUGACAUGGCCAAUCAAAAGCCCAGUCCUACCUUCAGAACAGAGCUUCACAGUUUGUACCCGACAGUCAUUGCCAAGGACCCAUAACUGAUAGUCAGGACUUUAAGGCUGGGUGAAUAAAAAAUUGUUGUUUGGAAAAUUAAGGAGGAGUUCUCUUGUUUGUGUUUUGACAUUUUGGAGGUGUUCACAGAUGAAGACAAGCACAAAUGGGGAGUUGAACCAGCGACCUUUGGAUCACAGCACUUCAUGUGAGGAACUUGCUACAGUCCUCUGCUCUACCAACUGAGCUAUCGAGGUGCUCUCUACUCACAAGUGCAGAAAACAUAGUGGCUGAGACGACACACUUUGCCCACACAACUAUUUGAUCCACAUGGUCAAUGAAAAGCCAAGCCCUACCUGCAGAACAAAGCUUCGCAGUUUGUACCCAACAGUCAUUGCCAGGGACCCAGAACUGAUAAUCAGGACUUUUAGGCUUGGAUUUUGAUUGACAUGGCUAAUCAAAAGCCCAGUCCUACCUUCAGGACAGAGCUUCACAGUUUGUACCCAACAGUCAUUGCCAAGGACCCAGAACUGAUAGUCAGGACUUUAAGGCUGGGUGAAUAAAAAAUUGAUGGUUGGAAAAUUAAGGAGGAGUUCUCUUGUUUGUGUUUUGACAUUUUGGAGGUGUUCACAGAUGAAGACAAGCGGGGAGUUGAACCAGCGACCUUUGGAUCACAGCACUUCAUGUGAGGAACUUCCUAAAGUCCUCUGCUCUACCAACUGAGCUAUCGAGGUGCUCUCUACUCACAAGUGCAGAAAACAUAGUGGCUGAGACGACACACUUUGCCCACACAACUAUUUGAUCCACAUGGUCAAUGAAAAGCCCAGCCCUACCUGCAGAACAAAGCUUCGCAGUUUGUACCCAACAGUCAUUACCAGGGACCCAGAACUGAUAAUCAGGACUUUUAGGCUUGGCUUUUGAUUGACAUGGCCAAUCAAAAGCCCAGUCCUACCUUCAGAACAGAGCUUCACAGUUUGUACCCGACAGUCAUUGCCAAGGACCCAGAACUGAUAGUCAGGACUUUAAGGCUGGGUGAAUAAAAAAUUGAUGGUUGGAAAAUUAAGGAGGAGUUCUCUUGUUUGUGUUUUGACAUUUUGGAGGUGUUCACAGAUGAAGAGAAGGACAAAUGGGGAGUUGAACCAGCGACCUUUGGAUCACAGCACUUCCUACAGUCCUCUGCUCUACCAACUGAGCUAUCGAGGUGUUCUCUACUCACAAGUGCAGAAAACAUAGUGGCUGAGACGACACACUUUGCCCACACAACUAUUUGAUCCACAUGGUCAAUGAAAAGCCCAGCCCUACCUGCAGAACAAAGCUUCGCAGUUUGUACCCAACAGUCAUUGCCAGAGACCCAGAACUGAUAAUCAGGACUUUUAGACUUGGAUUUUGAUUGACAUGGCUAAUCAAAAGCCCAGUCCUACCUUCAGGACAGAGCUUCACAGUUUGUACCCAACAGUCAUUGCCAAGGACCCAGAACUGAUAGUCAGGACUUUAAGGCUGGGUGAAUAAAAAAUUGAUGGUUGGAAAAUUAAGGAGGAGUUCUCUUGUUUGUGUUUUGACAUUUUGGAGGUGUUCACAGAUGAAGACAAGGACAAAUGGGGAGUUGAACCAGCGACCUUUGGAUCACAGCACUUCCUACAGUCCUCUGCUCUACCAACUGAGCUAUCGAGGUGCUCUCUACUCACAAGUGCAGAAAACAUAGUGGCUGAGACGACACACUUUGCCCACACAACUAUUUGAUCCACAUGGUCAAUGAAAAGCCCAGCCCUACCUGCAGAACAAAGCUUCGCAGUUUGUACCCAACAGUCAUUACCAGGGACCCAGAACUGAUAAUCAGGACUUUUAGGCUUGGCUUUUGAUUGACAUGGCCAAUCAAAAGCCCAGUCCUACCUUCAGAACAGAGCUUCACAGUUUGUACCCGACAGUCAUUGCCAAGGACCCAGAACUGAUAGUCAGGACUUUAAGGCUGGGUGAAUAAAAAAUUGAUGGUUGGAAAAUUAAGGAGGAGUUCUCUUGUUUGUGUUUUGACAUUUUGGAGGUGUUCACAGAUGAAGACAAGCGGGGAGUUGAACCAGCGACAUUUGGAUCACAGCACUUCAUGUGAGGAACUUCCUAAAGUCCUCUGCUCUACCAACUGAGCUAUCGAGGUGCUCUCUACUCACAAGUGCAGAAAACAUAGUGGCUGAGACGACACACUUUGCCCACACAACUAUUUGAUCCACAUGGUCAAUGAAAAGCCCAGCCCUACCUGCAGAACAAAGCUUCGCAGUUUGUACCCAACAGUCAUUACCAGGGACCCAGAACUGAUAAUCAGGACUUUUAGGCUUGGCUUUUGAUUGACAUGGCCAAUCAAAAGCCCAGUCCUACCUUCAGAACAGAGCUUCACAGUUUGUACCCGACAGUCAUUGCCAAGGACCCAGAACUGAUAGUCAGGACUUUAAGGCUGGGUGAAUAAAAAAUUGUUGUUUGGAAAAUUAAGGAGGAGUUCUCUUGUUUGUGUUUUGACAUUUUGGAGGUGUUCACAGAUGAAGACAAGGACAAAUGGGGAGUUGAACUAGCGACCUUUGGAUCACAGCACUUCAUGUGAGGAACUUGCUACAGUCCUCUGCUCUACCAACUGAGCUAUCGAGGUGCUCUCUACUCACAAGUGCAGAAAACAUAGUGGCUGAGACGACACACUUUGCCCACACAACUAUUUGAUCCACAUGGUCAAUGAAAAGCCAAGCCCUACCUGCAGAACAAAGCUUCGCAGUUUGUACCCAACAGUCAUUGCCAGGGACCCAGAACUGAUAAUCAGGACUUUUAGGCUUGGAUUUUGAUUGACAUGGCUAAUUAAAAGCCCAGUCCUACCUUCAGGACAGAGCUUCACAGUUUGUACCCAACAGUCAUUGCCAAGGACCCAGAACUGAUAGUCAGGACUUUAAGGCUGGGUGAAUAAAAAAUUGAUGGUUGGAAAAUUAAGGAGGAGUUCUCGUGUUUGGGUUUAGACAUUUUGGAGGUGUUCACAGAUGAAGACAAGCGGGGAGUUGAACCAGCGACCUUUGGAUCACAGCACUUCAUGUGAGGAACUUCCUAAAGUCCUCUGCUCUACCAACUGAGCUAUCGAGGUGCUCCCUACUCACAAGUGCAGAAAACAUAGUGGCUGAGACGACACACUUUGCCCACACAACUAUUUGAUCCACAUGGUCAAUGAAAAGCCCAGCCCUACCUGCAGAACAAAGCUUCGCAGUUUGUACCCAACAGUCAUUACCAGGGACCCAGAACUGAUAAUCAGGACUUUUAGGCUUGGCUUUUGAUUGACAUGGCCAAUCAAAAGCCCAGUCCUACCUUCAGAACAGAGCUUCACAGUUUGUACCCGACAGUCAUUGCCAAGGACCCAGAACUGAUAGUCAGGACUUUAAGGCUGGGUGAAUAAAAAAUUGAUGGUUGGAAAAUUAAGGAGGAGUUGUCUUGUUUGUGUUUUGACAUUUUGGAGUUUUUCAAAGAUGAAGACAAGGACAAAUGGGGAGUUGAACCAGCGACCUUUGGAUCACAGCACUUCCUACAGUCCUCUGCUCUACCAACUGAGCUAUCGAGGUGCUCUCUACUCACAAGUGCAGAAAACAUAGUGGCUGAGACGACACACUUUGCCCACACAACUAUUUGAUCCACAUGGUCAAUGAAAAGCCAAGCCCUACCUGCAGAACAAAGCUUCGCAGUUUGUACCCAACAGUCAUUGCCAGGGACCCAGAACUGAUAAUCAGGACUUUUAGGCUUGGAUUUUGAUUGACAUGGCUAAUCAAAAGCCCAGUCCUACCUUCAGGACAGAGCUUCACAGUUUGUACCCAACAGUCAUUGCCAAGGACCCAGAACUGAUAGUCAGGACUUUAAGGCUGGGUGAAUAAAAAAUUGAUGGUUGGAAAAUUAAGGAGGAGUUCUCUUGUUUGUGUUUUGACAUUUUGGAGGUGUUCACAGAUGAAGACAAGCGGGGAGUUGAACCAGCGACCUUUGGAUCACAGCACUUCAUGUGAGGAACUUCCUACAGUCCUCUGCUCUACCAACUGAGCUAUCGAGGUGCUCUCUACUCACAAGUGCAGAAAACAUAGUGGCUGAGACGACAUACUUUGCCCACACAACUAUUUGAUCCACAUGGUCAAUGAAAAGCCCAGCCCUACCUGCAGAAUAAAGCUUCGCAGUUUGUACCCAACAGUCAUUGCCAGGGACCCAGAACUGAUAAUCAGGACUUUUAGGCUUGGCUUUUGAUUGACAUGGCUAAUCAAAAGCCCAGUCCUACCUUCAGAACAGAGCUUCACAGUUUGUACCCGACAGUCAUUGCCAAGGACCCAGAACUGAUAGUCAGGACUUUAAGGCUGGGUGAAUAAAAAAUUGAUGGUUGGAAAAUUAAGGAGGAGUUCUCUUGUUUGUGUUUUGACAUUUUGGAGGUGUUCACAGAUGAAAACAAGGACAAGCUGGGAGUUGAACCAGCGACCUUUGGAUCACAGCACUUCAUGUGAGGAACUUCCUACAGUCCUCUGCUCUACCAACUGAGCUAUCGAGGUGCUCUCCACUCACUAGUGCAGAAAACAUAGUGGCUGAGACGACACACUUUGCCCACACAACUAUUUGAUCCACAUGGUCAAUGAAAAGCCAAGCCCUACCUGCAGAACAAAGCUUCGCAGUUUGUACCCAACAGUCAUUGCCAGGGACCCAGAACUGAUAAUCAGGACUUUUAGGCUUGGAUUUUGAUUGACAUGGCUAAUCAAAAGCCCAGUCCUACCUUCAGAACAGAGCUUCACAGUUUGUACCCGACAGUCAUUGCCAAGGACCCAGAACUGAUAGUCAGGACUUUAAGGCUGGGUGAAUAAAAAAUUGAUGGUUGGAAAAUUAAGGAGGAGUUCUCUUGUUUGUGUUUUGAGAUUUUGGAGGUGUUCACAGAUGAAGACAAGGACAAGCGGGGAGUUGAACCAGCGACCUUUGGAUCACAGCACUUCAUGUGAGGAACUUCCUACACUUCUCUGCUCUACCAACUGAGCUAUCGAGGUGCUGUCUACCCACAAGUGCAGAAAACAUAGUGGCUGAGACGACACACUUUGCCCACACAAUUAUUUGAUCCACAUGGUCAAUGAAAAGCCAAGCCCUACCUGCAGAACAAAGCUUCGCAGUUUGUACCCAACAGUCAUUGUCAGGGACCCGGAACUGAUAAUCAGGACUUUUAGGCUUGGCUUUUGAUUGACAUGGCCAAUCAAAAGCCCAGUCCUACCUUCAGAACAGAGCUUCACAGUUUGUACCCGACAGUCAUUGCCAAGGACCCAGAACUGAUAGUCAGGACUUUAAGGCUGGGUGAAUAAAAAAUUGAUGGUUGGAAAAUUAAGGAGGAGUUCUAUUGUUUUUUUUUUGACAUUUUGGAGGUGUUCACAGAUGAAGACAAGCGAGGAGUUGAACCAGCAACCUUUGGAUCACAGCACUUCAUGUGAGGAACUUCCUACAGUCCUCUGCUCUACCAACUGAGCUAUCAAGGUGCUCUCUACUCACGAUUGCAGAAAACAUAGUGGCUGAGACGACACACUUUGCCCACACAACUAUUUGAUCCACAUGGUCAAUGAAAAGCCCAGCCCUACCUGAAGAACAAAGCUUCGCAGUUUGUACCCAACAGUCAUUGCCAGGGACCCAGAACUGAUAAUCAGGACUUUUAGGCUUGGAUUUUGAUUGACAUGGCUAAUCAAAAGCCCAGUCCUACCUUCAGGACAGAGCUUCACAGUUUGUACCCAACAGUCAUUGCCAAGGACCCAGAACUGAUAGUCAGGACUUUAAGGCUGGGUGAAUAAAAAAUUGAUGGUUGGAAAAUUAAGGAGGAGUUCUCUUGUUUGUGUUUUUUCAUUUUGGAGGUGUUCACAGAUGAAGACAAGCGGGGAGUUGAACCAGCGACCUUUGGAUCACAGCACUUCAUGUGAGGAACUUCCUACAGUCCUCUGCUGUACCAACUGAGCUAUCGAGGUGCUGUCUACUCACAAGUGCAGAAAACAUAGUGGCUGAGACGACAUACUUUGCCCACACAACUAUUUGAUCCACAUGGUCAAUGAAAAGCCCGGCCCUACCUGCAGAACAAAGCUUCGCAGUUUGUACCCAACAGUCAUUACCAGGGACCCAGAACUGAUAAUCAGGACUUUUAGGCUUGGCUUUUGAUUGACAUGGCCAAUCAAAAGCCCAGUCCUACCUUCAGAACAGAGCUUCACAGUUUGUACCCGACAGUCAUUGCCAAGGACCCAGAACUGAUAGUCAGGACUUUAAGGCUGGGUGAAUAAAAAAUUGAUGGUUGGAUAAUUAAGGAGGAGUUCUCUUGCUUUGUUUUGAUAUUUUGGAGGUGUUCACAGAUGAAGACAAGGACAAGCGGGGAGUUGAACCAGCAACCUUUGGAUCACAGGACUUCCAACAGUCCUCUGCUCUACCAACUGAGCUAUCGAGGUGCUCUCUACUCACAAGUGCAGAAAACAUAGUGGCUGAGACGACACACUUUGCCCACACAACUAUUUGAUCCGCAUGGUCAAUGAAAAGCCCAGCCCUACCUGCAGAAUAAAGCUUCGCAGUUUGUACCCAACAGUCAUUGCCAGGGACCCAGAACUGAUAAUCAGGACUUUUAGGCUUGGCUUUUGAUUGACAUGGCCAAUCAAAAGCCCAGUCCUACCUUAAGAACAGAGCUUCACAGUUUGUAUCCGACAGUCAUUGCCAAGGACCCAGAACUGAUAGUCAGGACUUUAAGGCUGAGUGAAUAAAAAAUUGAUGGUUGGAAAAUUAAGGAGGAGUUCUCUUGUUUGUGUUUUGAGAUUUUGGAGGUGUUCACAGAUGAAGACAAGGACAAGCGGGGAGUUGAACCAGCGACCUUUGGAUCACAGCAUUUCAUGUGAGGAACUUCCUAAGGUCCUCUGCUCUACCAACUGAGCUAUCGAGGUGCUCUCUACCCACAAGUGCAGAAAACAUAGUGGCUGAGACGACACACUUUGCCCACACAAUUAUUUGAUCCACAUGGUCAAUGAAAAGCCAAGCCCUACCUGCAGAACAAAGCUUCGCAGUUUGUACCCAACAGUCAUUGCCAGGGACCCAGAACUGAUAAUCAGGACUUUUAGGCUUGGAUUUUGAUUGACAUGGCUAAUCAAAAGCCCAGUCCUACCUUCAGGACAGAGCUUCACAGUUUGUACCCAACAGUCAUUGCCAAGGACCCAGAACUGAUAGUCAGGACUUUAAGGCUGGGUGAAUAAAAAAUUGAUGGUUGGAAAAUUAAGGAGGAGUUCUCUUGUUUGUGUUUUGACAUUUUGGAGGUGUUCACAGAUGAAGACAAGGACAAAUGGGGAGUUGAACCAGCGACCUUUGGAUCACAGCACUUCCUACAGUCCUCUGCUCUACCAACUGAGCUAUCGAGGUGCUCUCUACUCACAAGUGCAGAAAGCAUAGUGGCUGAGACGACACACUUUGCCCACACAACUAUUUGAUCCACAUGGUCAAUGAAAAGCAAAGCCCUACCUGCAGAACAAAGCUUCGCAGUUUGUACCCAACAGUCAUUGCCAGGGACCCAGAACUGAUAAUCAGGACUUUUAGGCUUGGAUUUUGAUUGACAUGGCUAAUCAAAAGCCCAGUCCUACCUUCAGGACAGAGCUUCACAGUUUGUACCCAACAGUCAUUGCCAAGGACCCAGAACUGAUAGUCAGGACUUUAAGGCUGGGUGAAUAAAAAAAUGAUGGUUGGAAAAUUAAGGAGGAGUUCUCUUGUUUGUGUUUUGACAUUUUGGAGGUGUUCACAGAUGAAGACAAGCGGGGAGUUGAACCAGCGACCUUUGGAUCACAGCACUUCAUGUGAGGAACUUCCUAAAGUCCUCUGCUCUACCAACUGAGCUAUCGAGGUGCUGUCUACUCACAAGUGCAGAAAACAUAGUGACUGAGACGACAUACUUUGCCCACACAACUAUUUGAUCCACAUGGUCAAUGAAAAGCCCAGCCCUACCUGCAGAACAAAGCUUCGCAGUUUGUACCCAACAGUCAUUACCAGGGACCCAGAACUGAUAAUCAGGACUUUUAGGCUUGGCUUUUGAUUGACAUGGCCAAUCAAAAGCCCAGUCCUACCUUCAGAACAGAGCUUCACAGUUUGUACCCGACAGUCAUUGCCAAGGACCCAGAACUGAUAGUCAGGACUUUAAGGCUGGGUGAAUAAAAAAUUGAUGGUUGGAAAAUUAAGGAGGAGUUCUCUUGUUUGUGUUUUGACAUUUUGGAGGUGUUCACAGAUGAAGACAAGCGGGGAGUUGAACCAGCGACCUUUGGAUCACAGCACUUAAUGUGAGGAACUUCCUACAGUCCUCUGCUCUACCAACUGAGCUAUCGAGGUGCUCUCUACUCACAAGUGCAGAAAACAUAGUGGCUGAGACGACACACUUUGCCCACACAACUAUUUGAUCCACAUGGUCAAUGAAAAGCCCAGCCCUACCUGCAGAACAAAGCUUCGCAGUUUGUACCCAACAGUCAUUACCAGGGACCCAGAACUGAUAAUCAGGACUUUUAGGCUUGGCUUUUGAUUGACAUGGCCAAUCAAAAGCCCAGUCCUACCUUCAGAACAGAGCUUCACAGUUUGUACCCGACAGUCAUUGCCAAGGACCCAGAACUGAUAGUCAGGACUUUAAGGCUGGGUGAAUAAAAAAUUGAUGGUUGGAAAAUUAAGGAGGAGUUCUCUUGUUUGUGUUUUGACAUUUUGGAGGUGUUCACAGAUGAAGAGAAGGACAAAUGGGGAGUUGAACCAGCGACCUUUGGAUCACAGCACUUCCUACAGUCCUCUGCUCUACCAACUGAGCUAUCGAGGUGCUCUCUACUCACAAGUGCAGAAAACAUAGUGGCUGAGACGACACACUUUGCCCACACAACUAUUUGAUCCACAUGGUCAAUGAAAAGCCCAGCCCUACCUGCAGAACAAAGCUUCGCAGUUUGUACCCAACAGUCAUUGCCAGAGACCCAGAACUGAUAAUCAGGACUUUUAGACUUGGAUUUUGAUUGACAUGGCUAAUCAAAAGCCCAGUCCUACCUUCAGGACAGAGCUUCACAGUUUGUACCCAACAGUCAUUGCCAAGGACCCAGAACUGAUAGUCAGGACUUUAAGGCUGGGUGAAUAAAAAAUUGAUGGUUGGAAAAUUAAGGAGGAGUUCUCUUGUUUGUGUUUUGACAUUUUGGAGGUGUUCACAGAUGAAGACAAGGACAAAUGGGGAGUUGAACCAGCGACCUUUGGAUCACAGCACUUCCUACAGUGCUCUGCUCUACCAACUGAGCUAUCGAGGUGCUCUCUACUCACAAGUGCAGAAAACAUAGUGGCUGAGACGACACACUUUGCCCACACAACUAUUUGAUCCACAUGGUCAAUGAAAAGCCCAGCCCUACCUGCAGAACAAAGCUUCGCAGUUUGUACCCAACAGUCAUUACCAGGGACCCAGAACUGAUAAUCAGGACUUUUAGGCUUGGCUUUUUAUUGACAUGGCCAAUCAAAAGCCCAGUCCUACCUUCAGAACAGAGCUUCACAGUUUGUACCCGACAGUCAUUGCCAAGGACCCAGAACUGAUAGUCAGGACUUUAAGGCUGGGUGAAUAAAAAAUUGUUGUUUGGAAAAUUAAGGAGGAGUUCUCUUGUUUGUGUUUUGACAUUUUGGAGGUGUUCACAGAUGAAGACAAGGAGAAAUGGGGAGUUUAACCAGCGACCUUUGGAUCACAGCACUUCAUGUGAGGAACUUCCUACAGUCCUCUGCUCUACCAACUGAGCUAUCGAGGUGCUCUCUACUGACAAGUGCAGAAAACAUAGUGGCUGAGACGACACACUUUGCCCACACAACUAUUUGAUCCACAUGGUCAAUGAAAAGCCAAGCCCUACCUGCAGAACAAAGCUUCGCAGUUUGUACCCAACAGUCAUUGCCAGGGACCCAGAACUGAUAAUCAGGACUUUUAGGCUUGGAUUUUGAUUGACAUGGCUAAUUAAAAGCCCAGUCCUACCUUCAGGACAGAGCUUCACAGUUUGUACCCAACAGUCAUUGCCAAGGACCCAGAACUGAUAGUCAGGACUUUAAGGCUGGGUGAAUAAAAAAUUGAUGGUUGGAAAAUUAAGGAGGAGUUCUCGUGUUUGGGUUUAGACAUUUUGGAGGUGUUCACAGAUGAAGACAAGCGGGGAGUUGAACCAGCGACCUUUGGAUCACAGCACUUCAUGUGAGGAACUUCCUAAAGUCCUCUGCUCUACCAACUGAGCUAUCGAGGUGCUCCCUACUCACAAGUGCAGAAAACAUAGUGGCUGAGACGACACACUUUGCCCACACAACUAUUUGAUCCACAUGGUCAAUGAAAAGCCCAGCCCUACCUGCAGAACAAAGCUUCGCAGUUUGUACCCAACAGUCAUUGCCAGGGACCCAGAACUGAUAAUCAGGACUUUUAGGCUUGGCUUUUGAUUGACAUGGCCAAUCAAAAGCCCAGUCCUACCUUCAGAACAGAGCUUCACAGUUUGUACCCGACAGUCAUUGCCAAGGACCCAGAACUGAUAGUCAGGACUUUAAGGCUGGGUGAAUAAAAAAUUGAUGGUUGGAAAAUUAAGGAGGAGUUGUCUUGUUUGUGUUUUGACAUUUUGGAGUUUUUCACAGAUGAAGACAAGGACAAAUGGGGAGUUGAACCAGCGACCUUUGGAUCACAGCACUUCCUACAGUCCUCUGCUCUACCAACUGAGCUAUCGAGGUGCUCUCUACUCACAAGUGCAGAAAACAUAGUGGCUGAGACGACACACUUUGCCCACACAACUAUUUGAUCCACAUGGUCAAUGAAAAGCCAAGCCCUACCUGCAGAACAAAGCUUCGCAGUUUGUACCCAACAGUCAUUGCCAGGGACCCAGAACUGAUAAUCAGGACUUUUAGGCUUGGAUUUUGAUUGACAUGGCUAAUCAAAAGCCCAGUCCUACCUUCAGGAACAGAGCUUCACAGUUUGUACCCAACAGUCAUUGCCAAGGACCCAGAACUGAUAGUCAGGACUUUAAGGCUGGGUGAAUAAAAAAUUGAUGGUUGGAAAAUUAAGGAGGAGUUCUCUUGUUUGUGUUUUGACAUUUUGGAGGUGUUCACAGAUGAAGACAAGCGGGGAGUUGAACCAGCGACCUUUGGAUCACAGCACUUCAUGUGAGGAACUUCCUACAGUCCUCUGCUCUACCAACUGAGCUAUCGAGGUGCUGUCUACUCACAAGUGCAGAAAACAUAGUGGCUGAGACGACAUACUUUGCCCACACAACUAUUUGAUCCACAUGGUCAAUGAAAAGCCCAGCCCUACCUGCAGAAUAAAGCUUCGCAGUUUGUACCCAACAGUCAUUGCCAGGGACCCAGAACUGAUAAUCAGGACUUUUAGGCUUGGCUUUUGAUUGACAUGGCUAAUCAAAAGCCCAGUCCUACCUUCAGAACAGAGCUUCACAGUUUGUACCCGACAGUCAUUGCCAAGGACCCAGAACUGAUAGUCAGGACUUUAAGGCUGGGUGAAUAAAAAAUUGAUGGUUGGAAAAUUAAGGAGGAGUUCUCUUGUUUGUGUUUUGACAUUUUGGAGGUGUUCACAGAUGAAAACAAGGACAAGCUGGGAGUUGAACCAGCGACCUUUGGAUCACAGCACUUCAUGUGAGGAACUUCCUACAGUCCUGUGCUCUACCAACUGAGCUAUCGAGGUGCUCUCCACUCACAAGUGCAGAAAACAUAGUGGCUGAGACGACACACUUUGCCCACACAACUAUUUGAUCCACAUGGUCAAUGAAAAGCCAAGCCCUACCUGCAGAACAAAGCUUCGCAGUUUGUACCCAACAGUCAUUGCCAGGGACCCAGAACUGAUAAUCAGGACUUUUAGGCUUGGAUUUUGAUUGACAUGGCUAAUCAAAAGCCCAGUCCUACCUUCAGGACAGAGCUUCACAGUUUGUACCCAACAGUCAUUGCCAAGGACCCAGAACUGAUAGUCAGGACUUUAAGGCUGGGUGAAUAAAAAAUUGAUGGUUGGAAAAUUAAGGAGGAGUUCUCUUGUUUGUGUUUUGACAUUUUGGAGGUGUUCACAGAUGAAGACAAGCGGGGAGUUGAACCAGCGACCUUUGGAUCACAGCACUUCAUGUGAGGAACUUCCUAAAGUCCUCUGCUCUACCAACUGAGCUAUCGAGGUGCUCUCUACUCACAAGUGCAGAAAACAUAGUGGCUGAGACGACACACUUUGCCCACACAACUAUUUGAUCCACAUGGUCAAUGAAAAGCCCAGCCCUACCUGCAGAACAAAGCUUCGCAGUUUGUACCCAACAGUCAUUACCAGGGACCCAGAACUGAUAAUCAGGACUUUUAGGCUUGGCUUUUGAUUGACAUGGCCAAUCAAAAGCCCAGUCCUACCUUCAGAACAGAGCUUCACAGUUUGUACCCGACAGUCAUUGCCAAGGACCCAGAACUGAUAGUCAGGACUUUAAGGCUGGGUGAAUAAAAAAUUGAUGGUUGGAAAAUUAAGGAGGAGUUGUCUUGUUUGUGUUUUGACAUUUUGGAGGUGUUCACAGAUGAAGACAAGGACAAAUGGGGAGUUGAACCAGCGACCUUUGGAUCACAGCACUUCCUACAGUCCUCUGCUCUACCAACUGAGCUAUCGAGGUGCUCUCUACUCACAAGUGCAGAAAGCAUAGUGGCUGAGACGACACACUUUGCCCACACAACUAUUUGAUCCACAUGGUCAAUGAAAAGCCCAGCCCUACCUGCAGAACAAAGCUUCGCAGUUUGUACCCAACAGUCAUUACCAGGGACCCAGAACUGAUAAUCAGGACUUUUAGGCUUGGAUUUUGAUUGACAUGGCUAAUCAAAAGCCCAGUCCUACCUUCAGGACAGAGCUUCACAGUUUGUACCCAACAGUCAUUGCCAAGGACCCAGAACUGAUAGUCAGGACUUUAAGGCUGGGUGAAUAAAAAAUUGAUGGUUGGAAAAUUAAGGAGGAGUUCUCUUGUUUGUGUUUUGACAUUUUGGAGGUGUUCACAGAUGAAGACAAGCGGGGAGUUGAACCAGCGACCUUUGGAUCACAGCACUUCAUGUGAGGAACUUCCUAAAGUCCUCUGGUCUACCAACUGAGCUAUCGAGGUGCUCUCUACUCACAAGUGCAGAAAACAUAGUGGCUGAGACGACACACUUUGCCCACACAACUAUUUGAUCCACAUGGUCAAUGAAAAGCCCAGCCCUACCUGCAGAACAAAGCUUCGCAGUUUGUACCCAACAGUCAUUACCAGGGACCCAGAACUGAUAAUCAGGACUUUUAGGCUUGGCUUUUGAUUGACAUGGCCAAUCAAAAGCCCAGUCCUACCUUCAGAACAGAGCUUCACAGUUUGUACCCGACAGUCAUUGCCAAGGACCCAGAACUGAUAGUCAGGACUUUAAGGCUGGGUGAAUAAAAAAUUGAUGGUUGGAAAAUUAAGGAGGAGUUGUCUUGUUUGUGUUUUGACAUUUUGGAGGUGUUCACAGAUGAAGACAAGGACAAAUGGGGAGUUGAACCAGCGACCUUUGGAUCACAGCACUUCCUACAGUCCUCUGCUCUACCAACUGAGCUAUCGAGGUGCUCUCUACUCACAAGUGCAGAAAGCAUAGUGGCUGAGACGACACACUUUGCCCACACAACUAUUUGAUCCACAUGGUCAAUGAAAAGCCCAGCCCUACCUGCAGAACAAAGCUUCGCAGUUUGUACCCAACAGUCAUUACCAGGGACCCAGAACUGAUAAUCAGGACUUUUAGGCUUGGCUUUUGAUUGACAUGGCCAAUCAAAAGCCCAGUCCUACCUUCAGAACAGAGCUUCACAGUUUGUACCCGACAGUCAUUGCCAAGGACCCAGAACUGAUAGUCAGGACUUUAAGGCUGGGUGAAUAAAAAAUUGAUGGUUGGAAAAUUAAGGAGGAGUUGUCUUGUUUGUGUUUUGACAUUUUGGAGUUUUUCACAGAUGAAGACAAGGACAAAUGGGGAGUUGAACCAGCGACCUUUGGAUCACAGCACUUCAUGUGAGGAACUUGCUACAGUCCUCUGCUCUACCAACUGAGCUAUCGAGGUGCUCUCCACUCACUAGUGCAGAAAACAUAGUGGCUGAGACGACACACUUUGCCCACACAACUAUUUGAUCCACAUGGUCAAUGAAAAGCCCAGCCCUACCUGCAGAACAAAGCUUCGCAGUUUGUACCCAACAGUCAUUGCCAGGGACCCAGAACUGAUAAUCAGGACUUUUAGGCUUGGAUUUUGAUUGACAUGGCUAAUCAAAAGCCCAGUCCUACCUUCAGGACAGAGCUUCACAGUUUGUACCCAACAGUCAUUGCCAAGGACCCAGAACUGAUAGUCAGGACUUUAAGGCUGGGUGAAUAAAAAAUUGAUGGUUGGAAAAUUAAGGAGGAGUUCUCUUGUUUGUGUUUUGACAUUUUGGAGGUGUUCACAGAUGAAGACAAGCGGGGAGUUGAACCAGCGACCUUUGGAUCACAGCACUUCAUGUGAGGAACUUCCUAAAGUCCUCUGCUCUACCAACUGAGCUAUCGAGGUGCUCUCUACUCACAAGUGCAGAAAACAUAGUGGCUGAGACGACACACUUUGCCCACACAACUAUUUGAUCCACAUGGUCAAUGAAAAGCCCAGCCCUACCUGCAGAACAAAGCUUCGCAGUUUGUACCCAACAGUCAUUACCAGGGACCCAGAACUGAUAAUCAGGACUUUUAGGCUUGGCUUUUGAUUGACAUGGCCAAUCAAAAGCCCAGUCCUACCUUCAGAACAGAGCUUCACAGUUUGUACCCGACAGUCAUUGCCAAGGACCCAGAACUGAUAGUCAGGACUUUAAGGCUGGGUGAAUAAAAAAUUGAUGGUUGGAAAAUUAAGGAGGAGUUGUCUUGUUUGUGUUUUGACAUUUUGGAGGUGUUCACAGAUGAAGACAAGGACAAAUGGGGAGUUGAACCAGCGACCUUUGGAUCACAGCACUUCCUACAGUCCUCUGCUCUACCAACUGAGCUAUCGAGGUGCUCUCUACUCACAAGUGCAGAAAGCAUAGUGGCUGAGACGACACACUUUGCCCACACAACUAUUUGAUCCACAUGGUCAAUGAAAAGCCCAGCCCUACCUGCAGAACAAAGCUUCGCAGUUUGUACCCAACAGUCAUUACCAGGGACCCAGAACUGAUAAUCAGGACUUUUAGGCUUGGAUUUUGAUUGACAUGGCUAAUCAAAAGCCCAGUCCUACCUUCAGGACAGAGCUUCACAGUUUGUACCCAACAGUCAUUGCCAAGGACCCAGAACUGAUAGUCAGGACUUUAAGGCUGGGUGAAUAAAAAAUUGAUGGUUGGAAAAUUAAGGAGGAGUUCUCUUGUUUGUGUUUUGACAUUUUGGAGGUGUUCACAGAUGAAGACAAGCGGGGAGUUGAACCAGCGACCUUUGGAUCACAGCACUUCAUGUGAGGAACUUCCUACAGUCCUCUGCUCUACCAACUGAGCUAUCGAGGUGCUGUCUACUCACAAGUGCAGAAAACAUAGUGGCUGAGACGACAUACUUUGCCCACACAACUAUUUGAUCCACAUGGUCAAUGAAAAGCCCAGCCCUACCUGCAGAACAAAGCUUCGCAGUUUGUACCAAACAGUCAUUGCCAGGGACCCAGAACUGAUAAUCAAGACUUUUAGGCUUGGCUUUUGAUUGACAUGGCUAAUCAAAAGCCCAGUCCUACCUUCAGAACAGAGCUUCACAGUUUGUACCCGACAGUCAUUGCCAAGGACCCAGAACUGAUAGUCAGGACUUUAAGGCUGGGUGAAUAAAAAAUUGAUGGUUGGAAAAUUAAGGAGGAGUUCUCUUGUUUGUGUUUUGACAUUUUGGAGGUGUUCACAGAUGAAAACAAGGACAAGCUGGGAGUUGAACCAGCGACCUUUGGAUCACAGCACUUCAUGUGAGGAACUUCCUACAGUCCUGUGCUCUACCAAAUGAGCUAUCGAGGUGCUCUCCACUCACUAGUGCAGAAAACAUAGUGGCUGAGACGACACACUUUGCCCACACAACUAUUUGAUCCACAUGGUCAAUGAAAAGCCCAGCCCUACCUGCAGAACAAAGCUUCGCAGUUUGUACCCAACAGUCAUUGCCAGGGACCCAGAACUGAUAAUCAGGACUUUUAGGCUUGGAUUUUGAUUGACAUGGCUAAUCAAAAGCCCAGUCCUACCUUCAGGACAGAGCUUCACAGUUUGUACCCAACAGUCAUUGCCAAGGACCCAGAACUGAUAGUCAGGACUUUAAAUUGGGUGAAUAAAAAAUUGAUGGUUGGAAAAUUAAGGAGGAGUUCUCUUGUUUGUGUUUUGACAUUUUGGAGGUGUUCACAGAUGAAGACAAGCGGGGAGUUGAACCAGCGACCUUUGGAUCACAGCACUUCAUGUGAGGAACUUCCUAAAGUCCUCUGCUCUACCAACUGAGCUAUCGAGGUGCUCUCUACUCACAAGUGCAGAAAACAUAGUGGCUGAGACGACACACUUUGCCCACACAACUAUUUGAUCCACAUGGUCAAUGAAAAGCCCAGCCCUACCUGCAGAACAUAGCUUCGCAGUUUGUACCCAACAGUCAUUACCAGGGACCCAGAACUGAUAAUCAGGACUUUUAGGCUUGGCUUUUGAUUGACAUGGCCAAUCAAAAGCCCAGUCCUACCUUCAGAACAGAGCUUCACAGUUUGUACCCGACAGUCAUUGCCAAGGACCCAGAACUGAUAGUCAGGACUUUAAGGCUGGGUGAAUAAAAAAUUGAUGGUUGGAAAAUUAAGGAGGAGUUGUCUUGUUUGUGUUUUGACAUUUUGGAGGUGUUCACAGAUGAAGACAAGGACAAAUGGGGAGUUGAACCAGCGACCUUUGGAUCACAGCACUUCCUACAGUCCUCUGCUCUACCAACUGAGCUAUCGAGGUGCUCUCUACUCACAAGUGCAGAAAGCAUAGUGGCUGAGACGACACACUUUGCCCACACAACUAUUUGAUCCACAUGGUCAAUGAAAAGCAAAGCCCUACCUGCAGAACAAAGCUUCGCAGUUUGUACCCAACAGUCAUUGCCAGGGACCCAGAACUGAUAAUCAGGACUUUUAGGCUUGGAUUUUGAUUGACAUGGCUAAUCAAAAGCCCAGUCCUACCUUCAGGACAGAGCUUCACAGUUUGUACCCAACAGUCAUUGCCAAGGACCCAGAACUGAUAGUCAGGACUUUAAGGCUGGGUGAAUAAAAAAUUGAUGGUUGGAAAAUUAAGGAGGAGUUGUCUUGUUUGUGUUUUGACAUUUUGGAGGUGUUCACAGAUGAAGACAAGGACAAAUGGGGAGUUGAACCAGCGACCUUUGGAUCACAGCACUUCCUACAGUCCUCUGCUCUACCAACUGAGCUAUCGAGGUGCUCUCUACUCACAAGUGCAGAAAGCAUAGUGGCUGAGACGACACACUUUGCCCACACAACUAUUUGAUCCACAUGGUCAAUGAAAAGCAAAGCCCUACCUGCAGAACAAAGCUUCGCAGUUUGUACCCAACAGUCAUUGCCAGGGACCCAGAACUGAUAAUCAGGACUUUUAGGCUUGGAUUUUGAUUGACAUGGCUAAUCAAAAGCCCAGUCCUACCUUCAGGACAGAGCUUCACAGUUUGUACCCAACAGUCAUUGCCAAGGACCCAGAACUGAUAGUCAGGACUUUAAGGCUGGGUGAAUAAAAAAAUGAUGGUUGGAAAAUUAAGGAGGAGUUCUCUUGUUUGUGUUUUGACAUUUUGGAGGUGUUCACAGAUGAAGACAAGCGGGGAGUUGAACCAGCGACCUUUGGAUCACAGCACUUCAUGUGAGGAACUUCCUAAAGUCCUCUGCUCUACCAACUGAGCUAUCGAGGUGCUGUCUACUCACAAGUGCAGAAAACAUAGUGACUGAGACGACAUACUUUGCCCACACAACUAUUUGAUCCACAUGGUCAAUGAAAAGCCCAGCCCUACCUGCAGAACAAAGCUUCGCAGUUUGUACCCAACAGUCAUUACCAGGGACCCAGAACUGAUAAUCAGGACUUUUAGGCUUGGCUUUUGAUUGACAUGGCCAAUCAAAAGCCCAGUCCUACCUUCAGAACAGAGCUUCACAGUUUGUACCCGACAGUCAUUGCCAAGGACCCAGAACUGAUAGUCAGGACUUUAAGGCUGGGUGAAUAAAAAAUUGAUGGUUGGAAAAUUAAGGAGGAGUUCUCUUGUUUGUGUUUUGACAUUUUGGAGGUGUUCACAGAUGAAGACAAGCGGGGAGUUGAACCAGCGACCUUUGGAUCACAGCACUUAAUGUGAGGAACUUCCUACAGUCCUCUGCUCUACCAACUGAGCUAUCGAGGUGCUCUCUACUCACAAGUGCAGAAAACAUAGUGGCUGAGACGACACACUUUGCCCACACAACUAUUUGAUCCACAUGGUCAAUGAAAAGCCCAGCCCUACCUGCAGAACAAAGCUUCGCAGUUUGUACCCAACAGUCAUUGCCAGGGACCCAGAACUGAUAAUCAGGACUUUUAGGCUUGGCUUUUGAUUGACAUGGCUAAUCAAAAGCCCAGUCCUACCUUCAGAACAGAGCUUCACAGUUUGUACCCGACAGUCAUUGCCAAGGACCCAGAACUGAUAGUCAGGACUUUAAGGCUGGGUGAAUAAAAAAUUGAUGGUUGGAAAAUUAAGGAGGAGUUCUCUUGUUUGUGUUUUGACAUUUUGGAGGUGUUCACAGAUGAAGAGAAGGACAAAUGGGGAGUUGAACCAGCGACCUUUGGAUCACAGCACUUCCUACAGUCCUCUGCUCUACCAACUGAGCUAUCGAGGUGCUCUCUACUCACAAGUGCAGAAAACAUAGUGGCUGAGACGACACACUUUGCCCACACAACUAUUUGAUCCACAUGGUCAAUGAAAAGCCCAGCCCUACCUGCAGAACAAAGCUUCGCAGUUUGUACCCAACAGUCAUUGCCAGAGACCCAGAACUGAUAAUCAGGACUUUUAGACUUGGAUUUUGAUUGACAUGGCUAAUCAAAAGCCCAGUCCUACCUUCAGGACAGAGCUUCACAGUUUGUACCCAACAGUCAUUGCCAAGGACCCAGAACUGAUAGUCAGGACUUUAAGGCUGGGUGAAUAAAAAAUUGAUGGUUGGAAAAUUAAGGAGGAGUUCUCUUGUUUGUGUUUUGACAUUUUGGAGGUGUUCACAGAUGAAGACAAGGACAAAUGGGGAGUUGAACCAGCGACCUUUGGAUCACAGCACUUCCUACAGUGCUCUGCUCUACCAACUGAGCUAUCGAGGUGCUCUCUACUCACAAGUGCAGAAAACAUAGUGGCUGAGACGACACACUUUGCCCACACAACUAUUUGAUCCACAUGGUCAAUGAAAAGCCCAGCCCUACCUGCAGAACAAAGCUUCGCAGUUUGUACCCAACAGUCAUUACCAGGGACCCAGAACUGAUAAUCAGGACUUUUAGGCUUGGCUUUUGAUUGACAUGGCCAAUCAAAAGCCCAGUCCUACCUUCAGAACAGAGCUUCACAGUUUGUACCCGACAGUCAUUGCCAAGGACCCAGAACUGAUAGUCAGGACUUUAAGGCUGGGUGAAUAAAAAAUUGUUGUUUGGAAAAUUAAGGAGGAGUUCUCUUGUUUGUGUUUUGACAUUUUGGAGGUGUUCACAGAUGAAGACAAGGAGAAAUGGGGAGUUUAACCAGCGACCUUUGGAUCACAGCACUUCAUGUGAGGAACUUCCUACAGUCCUCUGCUCUACCAACUGAGCUAUCGAGGUGCUCUCUACUGACAAGUGCAGAAAACAUAGUGGCUGAGACGACACACUUUGCCCACACAACUAUUUGAUCCACAUGGUCAAUGAAAAGCCAAGCCCUACCUGCAGAACAAAGCUUCGCAGUUUGUACCCAACAGUCAUUGCCAGGGACCCAGAACUGAUAAUCAGGACUUUUAGGCUUGGAUUUUGAUUGACAUGGCUAAUCAAAAGCCCAGUCCUACCUUCAGGACAGAGCUUCACAGUUUGUACCCAACAGUCAUUGCCAAGGACCCAGAACUGAUAGUAAGGACUUAAAGGCUGGGUGAAUAAAAAAUUGAUGGUUGGAAAAUUAAGGAGGAGUUCUCUUGUUUGUGUUUUGACAUUUUGGAGGUGUUCACAGAUGAAGACAAGCGGGGAGUUGAACCAGCGACCUUUGGAUCACAGCACUUCAUGUGAGGAACUUCCUAAAGUCCUCUGCUCUACCAACUGAGCUAUCGAGGUGCUCUCUACUCACAAGUGCAGAAAACAUAGUGGCUGAGACGACAUACUUUGCCCACACAACUAUUUGAUCCACAUGGUCAAUGAAAAGCCCAGCCCUACCUGCAGAACAAAGCUUCGCAGUUUGUACCCAACAGUCAUUGCCAGGGACCCAGAACUGAUAAUCAGGACUUUUAGGCUUGGCUUUUGAUUGACAUGGCUAAUCAAAAGCCCAGUCCUACCUUCAGAACAGAGCUUCACAGUUUGUACCCGACAGUCAUUGCCAAGGACCCAGAACUGAUAGUCAGGACUUUACAGGCUGGGUGAAUAAAAAAUUGAUGGUUUGGAAAAUUAAGGAGGAGUUCUCUUGUUUGUGUUUUGACAUUUUGGAGGUGUUCACAGAUGAAGACAAGGACAAAUGGGGAGUUGAACUAGCGACCUUUGGAUCACAGCACUUCAUGUGAGGAACUUCCUACAGUCCUCUGCUCUACCAACUGAGCUAUCGAGGUGCUCUCUACUCACAAGUGCAGAAAACAUAGUGGCUGAGACGACACACUUUGCCCACACAACUAUUUGAUCCACAUGGUCAAUGAAAAGCAAAGCCCUACCUGCAGAACAAAGCUUCGCAGUUUGUACCCAACAGUCAUUGCCAGGGACCCAGAACUGAUAAUCAGGACUUUUAAGCUUGGCUUUUGAUUGACAUGGCUAAUCAAAAGCCCAGUCCUACCUUCAGGACAGAGCUUCACAGUUUGUACCCGACAGUCAUUGCCAAGGACCCAGAACUGAUAGUCAGGACUUUAAGGCUGGGUGAAUAAAAAAUUGAUGGUUGGAAAAUUAAGGAGGAGUUGUCUUGUUUGUGUUUUGACAUUUUGGAGGUGUUCACAGAUGAAGACAAGGACAAAUGGGGAGUUGAACCAGCGACCUUUGAUCACAACUUCCUACAGUCCUCUGCUCUACCAACUGAGCUAUCGAGGUGCUCUCUACUCACAAGUGCAGAAAGCAUAGUGGCUGAGACGACACACUUUGCCCACACAACUAUUUGAUCCACAUGGUCAAUGAAAAGCAAAGCCCUACCUGCAGAACAAAGCUUCGCAGUUUGUACCCAACAGUCAUUGCCAGGGACCCAGAACUGAUAAUCAGGACUUUUAGGCUUGGAUUUUGAUUGACAUGGCUAAUCAAAAGCCCAGUCCUACCUUCAGAACAGAGCUUCACAGUUUGUACCCAACAGUCAUUGCCAAGGACCCAGAACUGAUAGUCAGGACUUUAAUUGGGUGAAUAAAAAAUUGAUGGUUGGAAAAUUAAGGAGGAGUUCUCUUGUUUGUGUUUUGACAUUUUGGAGGUGUUCACAGAUGAAGACAAGCGGGGAGUUGAACCAGCGACCUUUGGAUCACAGCACUUCAUGUGAGGAACUUCCUACAGUCCUCUGCUCUACCAACUGAGCUAUCGAGGUGCUGUCUACUCACAAGUGCAGAAAACAUAGUGGCUGAGACGACAUACUUUGCCCACACAACUAUUUGAUCCACAUGGUCAAUGAAAAGCCCAGCCCUACCUGCAGAACAAAGCUUCGCAGUUUGUACCCAACAGUCAUUACCAGGGACCCAGAACUGAUAAUCAGGACUUUUAGGCUUGGCUUUUGAUUGACAUGGCUAAUCAAAAGCCCAGUCCUACCUUCAGAACAGAGCUUCACAGUUUGUACCCGACAGUCAUUGCCAAGGACCCAGAACUGAUAGUCAGGACUUUAAGGCAUUGGGUGAAUAAAAAAUUGAUGGUUGGAAAAUUAAGGAGGAGUUCUCUUGUUUGUGUUUUGACAUUUUGGAGGUGUUCACAGAUGAAGACAAGCGGGGAGUUGAACCAAGCGACCUUUGGAUCACAGCACUUCAUGUGAGGAACUUCCUACAGUCCUCUGCUCUACCAACUGAGCUAUCGAGGUGCUCUCUACUCACAAGUGCAGAAAACAUAGUGGCUGAGACGACACACUUUGCCCACACAACUAUUUGAUCCACAUGGUCAAUGAAAAGCCCAGCCCUACCUGACGAACAAAGCUUCGCAGUUUGUACCCAACAGUCAUUGCCAGGGACCCAGAACUGAUAAUCAGGACUUUUAGGCUUGGCUUUUGAUUGACAUGGCCAAUCAAAAGCCCAGUCCUACCUUCAGAACAGAGCUUCACAGUUUGUACCCGACAGUCAUUGCCAAGGACCCAGAACUGAUAGUCAGGACUUUAAGGCUGGGUGAAUAAAAAAUUGAUGGUUGGAAAAUUAAGGAGGAGUUCUCUUGUUUGUGUUUUGACAUUUUGGAGGUGUUCACAGAUGAAAACAAGGACAAUAUGGGGAGUUGAACCAGCGACCUUUGGAUCACAGCACUUCCUACAGUCCUCUGCUCUACCAACUGAGCUAUCGAGGUGCUCUCUACUCACAAGUGCAGAAAACAUAGUGGCUGAGACGACACACUUUGCCCACACAACUAUUUGAUCCACAUGGUCAAUGAAAAGCCCAGCCCUACCUGCAGAACAAAGCUUCGCAGUUUGUACCCAACAGUCAUUGCCAGGGACCCAGAACUGAUAAUCAGGACUUUUAGGCUUGGAUUUUGAUUGACAUGGCUAAUCAAAAGCCCAGUCCUACCUUCAGGACAGAGCUUCACAGUUUGUACCCAACAGUCAUUGCCAAGGACCCAGAACUGAUAGUCAGGACUUUAAGGCUGGGUGAAUAAAAAAUUGAUGGUUGGAAAAUUAAGGAGGAGUUCUCUUGUUUGUGUUUUGACAUUUUGGAGGUGUUCACAGAUGAAGACAAGGACAAAUGGGGAGUUGAACCAGCGACCUUUGGAUCACAGCACUUCCUACAGUCCUCUGCUCUACCAACUGAGCUAUCGAGGUGCUCUCUACUCACAAGUGCAGAAAACAUAGUGGCUGAGACGACACACUUUGCCCACACAACUAUUUGAUCCACAUGGUCAAUGAAAAGCCCAGCCCUACCUGCAGAACAAAGCUUCGCAGUUUGUACCCAACAGUCAUUGCCAGGGACCCAGAACUGAUAAUCAGGACUUUUAGGCUUGGCUUUUUAUUGACAUGGCUAAUCAAAAGCCCAGUCCUACCUUCAGAACAGAGCUUCACAGUUUGUACCCGACAGUCAUUGCCAAGGACCCAGAACUGAUAGUCAGGACUUUAAAUUGGGUGAAUAAAAAAUUGAUGGUUGGAAAAUUAUGGAGGGAUUCUCUUGUUUGUGUUUUGACAUUUUGGAGGUGUUCACAGAUGAAGACAAAGCGGGGAGUUGAACCAGCGACCUUUGGAUCACAGCACUUCAUGUGAGGAACUUCCUACAGUCCUCUGCUCUACCAACUGAGCUAUCGAGGUGCUCUCUACUCACAAGUGCAGAAAACAUAGUGGCUGAGACGACACACUUUGCCCACACAACUAUUUGAUCCACAUGGUCAAUGAAAAGCCCAGCCCUACCUGCAGAACAAAGCUUCGCAGUUUGUACCCAACAGUCAUUGCCAGGGACCCAGAACUGAUAAUCAGGACUUUUAGGCUUGGAUUUUGAUUGACAUGGCUAAUCAAAAGCCCAGUCCUACCUUCAGAACAGAGCUUCACAGUUUGUACCCAACAGUCGUUACCAAGGACCCAGAACUGAUAGUCAGGACUUUACAUUGGGUGAAUAAAAAAUUGAUGGUUGGAAAAUUAAGGAGGAGUUCUCUUGUUUGUGUUUUGACAUUUUGGAGGUGUUCACAGAUGAAGACAAGCGGGGAGUUGAACCAGCGACCUUUGGAUGACAGCACUUCAUGUGAGGAACUUCCUACAGUCCUCUGCUCUACCAACUGAGCUAUCGAGGUGCUGUCUACUCACAAGUGCAGAAAACAUAGUGGCUGAGACGACACACUUUGCCCACACAACUAUUUGAUCCACAUGGUCAAUGAAAAGCCCAGCCCUACCUGCAGAACAAAGCUUCGCAGUUUGUACCCAACAGUCAUUGCCAGGGACCCAGAACUGAUAAUCAGGACUUUUAGGCUUGGCUUUUUAUUGACAUGGCUAAUCAAAAGCCCAGUCCUACCUUCAGAACAGAGCUUCACAGUUUGUACCCGACAGUCAUUGCCAAGGACCCAGAACUGAUAGUCAGGACUUUAAUUGGGUGAAUAAAAAAUUGAUGGUUGGAAAAUUAAGGAGGAGUUCUCUUGUUUGUGUUUUGACAUUUUGGAGGUGUUCACAGAUGAAGACAAGGACAAAGGGAGUUGAACAAGCGACCUUUGGAUCACAGCACUUCAUGUGAGGAACUUCCUACAGUCCUCUGCUCUACCAACUGAGCUAUCGAGGUGCUCUCUACUCACAAGUGCAGAAAACAUAGUGGCUGAGACGACACACUUUGCCCACACAACUAUUUGAUCCACAUGGUCAAUGAAAAGCCAAGCCCUACCUGCAGAACAAAGCUUCGCAGUUUGUACCCAACAGUCAUUGCCAGGGACCCAGAACUGAUAAUCAGGACUUUUAAGCUUGGCUUUUGAUUGACAUGGCUAAUCAAAAGCCCAGUCCUACCUUCAGGACAGAGCUUCACAGUUUGUACCCGACAGUCAUUGCCAAGGACCCAGAACUGAUAGUCAGGACUUUAAGGCUGGGUGAAUAAAAAAUUGAUGGUUGGAAAAUUAAAGGAGGAGUUCUCUUGUUUGUGUUUUGACAUUUUGGAGGUGUUCACAGAUGAAGGACAAGCGGGGAGUUGAACCAGCGACCUUUGGAUCACAGCACUUCAUGUGAGGAACUUCCUACAGUCCUCUGCUCUACCAACUGAGCUAUCGAGGUGCUCUCUACUAACAAGUGCAGAAAACAUAGUGGCUGAGACGACACACUUUGCCCACACAACGAUUUGAUCCACAUGGUCAAUGAAAAGCCCAGUCCUACCUGCAGAACAAAGCUUCGCAGUUUGUACCCAACAGUCAUUGCCAGGGACCCAGAACUGAUAAUCAGGACUUUUAGGCUUGGCUUUUGAUUGACAUGGCUAAUCAAAAGCCCAGUCCUACCUUCAGAACAGAGCUUCACAGUUUGUACCCGACAGUCAUUGCCAAGGACCCAGAACUGAUAGUCAGGACUUUAAGGCUGGGUGAAUAAAAAAUUGAUGGUUGGAAAAUUAAGGAGGAGUUCUCUUGUUUGUGUUUUGACAUUUUGGAGGUGUUCACAGAUGAAGACAAGGACAAAUGGGGAGUUGAACCAGCGACCUUUGGAUCACAGCACUUCAUGUGAGAAACUUCCUACAGUCCUCUGCUCUACCAACUGAGCUAUCGAGGUGCUCUCUACUCACAAGUGCAGAAAACAUAGUGGCUGAGACGACACACUUUGCCCACACAACUAUUUGAUCCACAUGGUCAAUGAAAAGCCAAGCCCUACCUGCAGAACAAAGCUUCGCAGUUUGUACCCAACAGUCAUUGCCAGGGACCCAGAACUGAUAAUCAGGACUUUUAGGCUUGGAUUUUGAUUGACAUGGCUAAUCAAAAGCCCAGUCCUACCUUCAGAAAAGAGCUUCACAGUUUGUACCCAACAGUCAUUGCCAAGGACCCAGAACUGAUAGUCAGGACUUUACAUUGGGUGAAUAAAAAAUUGAUGGUUGGAAAAUUAAGGAGGAGUUCUCUUGUUUGUGUUUUGACAUUUUGGAGGUGUUCACAGAUGAAGACAAGCGGGGAGUUGAACCAGCGACCUUUGGAUGACAGCACUUCAUGUGAGGAACUUCCUACAGUCCUCUGCUCUACCAACUGAGCUAUCGAGGUGCUGUCUACUCACAAGUGCAGAAAACAUAGUGGCUGAGACGACAUACUUUGCCCACACAACUAUUUGAUCCACAUGGUCAAUGAAAAGCCCAGCCCUACCUGCAGAACAAAGCUUCGCAGUUUGUACCCAACAGUCAUUGCCAGGGACCCAGAACUGAUAAUCAGGACUUUUAGGCUUGGCUUUUGAUUGACAUGGCUAAUCAAAAGCCCAGUCCUACCUUCAGAACAGAGCUUCACAGUUUGUACCCGACAGUCAUUGCCAAGGACCCAGAACUGAUAGUCAGGACUUUACAUUGGGUGAAUAAAAAAUUGAUGGUUGGAAAAUUAAGGAGGAGUUCUCUUGUUUGUGUUUUUACAAUUUGGAGGUGUUCACAGAUGAAGACAAGGAAAAGCUGGGAGUUGAACCAGCGACCUUUGGAUCACAGCACUUCAUGUGAGGAACUUCCUACAGUCCUCUGCUCUACCAACUGAGCUAUCGAGGUGCUCUCUACUCACAAGUGCAGAAAACAUAGUGGCUGAGACGACACACUUUGCCCACACAACUAUUUGAUCCACAUGGUCAAUGAAAAGCCCAGCCCUACCUGCAGAACAAAGCUUCGCAGUUUGUACCCAACAGUCAUUGCCAGGGACCCAGAACUGAUAAUCAGGACUUUUAGGCUUGGCUUUUGAUUGACAUGGCUAAUCAAAAGCCCAGUCCUACCUUCAGAACAGAGCUUCCACAGUUUGUACCCAACAGUCAUUGCCAAGGACCCAGAACUGAUAGUCAGGACUUUAAGGCUGGGUGAAUAAAAAAUUGAUGGUUGGAAAAUUAAGGAGGAGUUCUCUUGUUUGUGUUUUGACAUUUUGGAGGUGUUCACAGAUGAAGACAAGCUGGGAGUUGAACCAGCGACCUUUGGAUCACAGCACUUCAUGUGAGGAACUUCCUAAAGUCCUCUGCUCUACCAACUGAGCUAUCGAGGUGCUCUCUACUCACAAGUGCAGAAAACAUAGUGGCUGAGACGACAAACUUUGCCCACACAACUAUUUGAUCCACAUGGUCAAUGAAAAGCCCAGCCCUACCUGCAGAACAAAGCUUCGCAGUUUGUACCCAACAGUCAUUACCAGGGACCCAGAACUGAUAAUCAGGACUUUUAGGCUUGGCUUUUGAUUGACAUGGCCAAUCAAAAGCCCAGUCCUACCUUCAGAACAGAGCUUCACAGUUUGUACCCGACAGUCAUUGCCAAGGACCCAGAACUGAUAGUCAGGACUUUAAGGCUGGGUGAAUAAAAAAUUGAUGGUUGGAAAAUUAAGGAGGAGUUGUCUUGUUUGUGUUUUGACAUUUUGGAGGUGUUCACAGAUGAAGACAAAUGGGGAGUUGAACAAGCGACCUUUGGAUCACAGCACUUCAUGUGAGGAACUUCCUACAGUCCUCUGCUCUACCAACUGAGCUAUCGAGGUGCUCUCUACUCACAAGUGCAGAAAACAUAGUGGCUGAGACGACACACUUUGCCCACACAACUAUUUGAUCCACAUGGUCAAUGAAAAGCCCAAGCCCUACCUGCAGAACAAAGCUUCGCAGUUUGUACCCAACAGUCAUUGCCAGGGACCCAGAACUGAUAAUCAGGACUUUUAGGCUUGGCUUUUUGAUUGACAUGGCUAAUCAAAAGCCCAGUCCUACCUUCAGAACAGAGCUUCACAGUUUGUACCCGACAGUCAUUGCCAAGGACCCAGAACUGAUAGUCAGGACUUUACAGGCUGGGUGAAUAAAAAAUUGAUGGUUGGAAAAUUAAGGAGGAGUUCUCUUGUUUGUGUUUUGACAUUUUGGAGGUGUUCACAGAUGAAGACAUGGACAAGCGGGGAGUUGAACCAGCGACCUUUGGAUAACAGCACUUCAUGUGAGGAACUUCCUAAAGUCCUCUGCUCUACCAACUGAGCUAUCGAGGUGCUGUCUACUCACACGUGCAGAAAACAUAGUGGCUGAGACGACACACUUUGCCCACACAACUAUUUGAUCCACAUGGUCAAUGAAAAGCCCAGCCCUACCUGCAGAACAAAGCUUCGCAGUUUGUACCCAACAGUCAUUACCAGGGACCCAGAACUGAUAAUCAGGACUUUUAGGCUUGGCUUUUCAUUGACAUGGCCAAUCAAAAGCCCAGUCCUACCUUCAGAACAGAGCUUCACAGUUUGUACCCGACAGUCAUUGCCAAGGACCCAGAACUGAUAGUCAGGACUUUAAGGCUGGGUGAAUAAAAAAUUGAUGGUUGGAAAAUUAAGGAGGAGUUCUCUUGUUUGUGUUUUGACAUUUUGGAGGUGUUCACAGAUGAAGACAAGGACAAAUGGGGAGUUGAACCAGCGACCUUUGGAUCACAGCACUUCCUACAGUCCUCUGCUCUACCAACUGAGCUAUCGAGGUGCUCUCUACUCACAAGUGCAGAAAACAUAGUGGCUGAGACGACACACUUUGCCCACACAACUAUUUGAUCCACAUGGUCAAUGAAAAGCCCAGCCCUACCUGCAGAACAAAGCUUCGCAGUUUGUACCCAACAGUCAUUACCAGGGACCCAGAACUGAUAAUCAGGACUUUAAGGCUUGGCUUUUCAUUGACAUGGCCAAUCAAAAGCCCAGUCCUACCUUCAGAACAGAGCUUCACAGUUUGUACCCGACAGUCAUUGCCAAGGACCCAGAACUGAUAGUCAGGACUUUAAGGCUGGGUGAAUAAAAAAUUGAUGGUUGGAAAAUUAAGGAGGAGUUCUCUUGUUUGUGUUUUGACAUUUUGGAGGUGUUCACAGAUGAAGACAAGGACAAAUGGGGAGUUGAACCAGCGACCUUUGGAUCAGAGCACUUCAUGUGAGGAACUUGCCUACAGUCCUCUGCUCUACCAACUGAGCUAUCGAGGUGCUCUCUACUCACAAGUGCAGAAAACAUAGUGGCUGAGACGACACACUUUGCCCACACAACUAUUUGAUCCACAUGGUCAAUGAAAAGCCAAGCCCUACCUGCAGAACAAAGCUUCGCAGUUUGUACCCAACAGUCAUUGCCAGGGACCCAGAACUGAUAAUCAGGACUUUUAGGCUUGGAUUUUGAUUGACAUGGCUAAUCAAA
RNAcentral lists this long non-coding RNA (32353 nucleotides) under Xyrichtys novacula (pearly razorfish). The record is from RNAcentral. Lineage: Eukaryota; Metazoa; Chordata; Actinopteri; Labriformes; Labridae.